Molecule: ribosomal RNA, 807 nt
Filed under: uncultured archaeon
Lineage: Archaea
Description: bacterial SSU rRNA
Rfam family: Archaeal small subunit ribosomal RNA
Source: RNAcentral
CCUGGGGUAGGGGUGAAAUCCUGUAAUCCUGGGGGGACCACCAGUGGCGAAGGCGUCUAACUAGGACGGGUCUGACGGUGAGGGACGAAACCCUGGGGCGCAAACCGGAUUAGAUACCCGGGUAGUCCAGGGCGCAAACGCUGCUUGCUUGAUGUUAGUUGGGCUCCGAGCUCAGCAAGUGUCGGAGAGAAGUUGUUAAGCAAGCUGCCUGGGAAGUACGAUCGCAAGAUUGAAACUUAAAGGAAUUGGCGGGGGAGCACAGCAACGGGUGGAGCGUGCGGUUUAAUUGGAUUCAACGCCGGAAAACUCACCGGAGGUGACGGUUACAUGAAGGCCAGGCUGAUGACCUUGCCUGAUUUUCCGAGAGGUGGUGCAUGGCCGCCGUCAGUUCGUACCGUAAGGCGUUCUGUUAAGUCAGAUAACGAACGAGACCCUCAUCCUUAAUUGCUACUGACAACUCCGGUUGUCACGCACAUUAAGGAGACCGCUGGCGAUAAGUCAGAGGAAGGCGAGGGCAACGGUAGGUCAGUAUGCCCUGAAUCCUCCGGGCUACACGCGCGCUACAAAGGCCAGGACAAUGGGCUCCGACACCGAAAGGUGAAGGCAAUCUCGAAACCUGGUCAUAGUUCGGAUUGAGGGUUGAAACUCACCCUCAUGAAGCUGGAAUCCGUAGUAAUCGCAGAUCAACAUCCUGCGGUGAAUAUGCCCCUGCUCCUUGCACACACCGCCCGUCAAACCAUGCGAGUUGGGUUCAAGUGAGGAUGUAGUAUUUUGCUCUGUUCAAACUUGGGCUUAGCAAGCGGGGUU